UACGUAGGUGGCAAGCGUUGUCCGGAUUUACUGGGCGUAAAGAGCGCGCAGGCGGUCGAUUAAGUCGAGUGUGAAAGCCCCCGGCUCAACUGGGGAGGGUCACUCGAUACUGGUCGACUCGAAGGUGGGAGAGGGAAGUGGAAUUCCCGGUGUAGUGGUGAAAUGCGUAGAUAUCGGGAGGAACACCAGUGGCGAAGGCGACUUCCUGGCCCAUUCUUGACGCUGAGGCGCGAAAGCUAGGGGAGCAAACGGG
RNAcentral lists this ribosomal RNA (253 nucleotides) under uncultured bacterium. RNAcentral's name for it is "partial 16S ribosomal RNA". It matches the Rfam family "Bacterial small subunit ribosomal RNA", at positions 524 to 776 of the family's 1533-position model. The record is from RNAcentral.